Molecule: long non-coding RNA, 1180 nt
Filed under: Homo sapiens (human)
Lineage: Eukaryota; Metazoa; Chordata; Mammalia; Primates; Hominidae
Description: LHRI_LNC1035.1
Source: RNAcentral
UGGGCGUCCCAUUCUCCAUCCGAGGCCUUCUAGUCCCGGUGUCACUGUCGCAGCACCUGGCGUUCGUUAGCUCUUUCACCAGCGGCGCGGAGCGGGCGGUUUUGCUGUCACGGCACAUGUGGCACGGAGUUUCUCGGUGGCCGAAACCCUCUUUUUUCUCAGAGUCCAGUUUCUUGGUGACAGCGCUGUUGGUUGCGCCAUAAGGAAUGUUGUCCUUGACAACCCGCCGGCCGCAGUCAUUCGCAAGCUCCAGGCACCGACAUUUCGCAGAACUGAGGUCUCUCGGUCUCAGCACAGCUCGUUGCUCGAUGCCUCCAUUUUCUCGGGGCGACAGCACUCAGGUCGCCGAUCUGAGGGAUUCGGAGCUUCCCCAGCUGGGGUGAGCCUGGCGUUCCCGGGCGGCGGCGGCGGCGCUGGGCUAGGGGAGCCCGCCGCUCCUCCAAGCCGGUGACAGGGGAGCUGCCCGGGCGCCGUCUCUUCCCAGCGCCGCCGCAGAACCCGCAGAACAGCUCGACCUCCAGAACCCUGUGCUGUGGCGGCGGGGCUGGCGUGUCUGUCGCAGGACCCCGCAGAUUCGUCUGUCGUUGGCUUGUUGGUCCUAACAAGUUUCGAUUUCAGGGUGCCUGCGUUUCUUUUUCUUUUCUCUUCUUUUCCUUUUGUUUUGUUUUGAGACAGAGUCUCGCCGUGUCGCCCAGCCUGGAGUGCAGUGGCGCGAUCUUGGCUCACUGCAACCUCCGCACCCCAGGUUCAAGGGAUUCUACUGCCUCAGCCUCCUGAGUAGCUGGGAUUACAGGCGCUCGCCACCACGCCCGGAUAAUUUUUGUAUUUUUACUAGAGGCGGUGUUUCAUCAUAUUGACCAGGCUGGUCUCGAACUCCUAACCUCAAUAAUCUGCCCGCCUCGGCCUCCCAAACUGCCAGGAUUACAGCAUGAGCCGCUGCGCCCAGCCGGUGACUACGAUUUCUAUCCCCUGGUUCAAGUCGGGGAAUAGCCAAAAUGUGAUUUCUCAACCCAAGCAAGUACCCACUUAGGACAAACACCAGCCUAGCCCUGGCGGCGAUUUCUAGGUCGUAGGAAGUCGAUGUUUCGCCACAGAAAGGCUGAGUGACCCUGUGACUCAUUUCCCAGCAACUCCGGGUUUCCUGUAGCCUAAUCAUAACAAACGCAGAGUUAGCCCUGCC